UAAAUUUGAUUCUAUUUUGAGACGCGUUAAAAAGAUCUUCCUCCAUUUUAAUUUAUUUUAUAGCCCAUAAAUUUUAAUCCUGAUAUUUUAUAAUUUGUAUAAUUUUUGUUCCAGAAUAAUCGGCUAAACUUUAAAAAUUUUAACUUUAUUUAAUUUUUAUUUUAAAAAAAAGGAAAAAAAGUUUAUAAUAUUUUAUUUAUUUAUAGUAGAAAUAAAAAUAAUUUUUUAAAGUUUUUAAAAUAAUAAAUUUAAAGAAAUGAAUUAGAUUAGUCCCUAAGUAAUUUAAAUUUAAAAUCUCAGUAGUAAAGUAGAAUUUAAACUGAAAGAAUUUUGGCAGGAAACUAAUUUUUUUUUGGAGGUUGAGUUUUAAUUUGAGAGUCCUCAUUUUUAGCUUUAAUUUUUAGUUUAUGUAUGAUUAUUUAUUUAAAUUUUAAAAAUUUAAAAUUAAAAUUAUUAUUAUUAUUUUUUUUUUAUUUUUAAAAAUAAAUAAAUACUUAAUUUAUGUUAAAGUAUCAUUUGACCUACAAUUUUUUUUAAAUAGUUAUAAUUUAAUAAAUUUAAAUAUAUAAAUUGGAAAAAAAAGUAAAAUAAUUUUAAUACUUAUUUGAAUUUUUUUUAGUUUCGGUACAAAUUAUCCAUCAAUUGCCUAAAGGGGAGUAAGUUGUAGUAAAGUAAAAGUAAAGGAAUUUGUUUUUAGAAU
This 700-nucleotide non-coding RNA is filed under the name Bursaphelenchus xylophilus (pine wood nematode). Lineage: Eukaryota; Metazoa; Nematoda; Chromadorea; Rhabditida; Aphelenchoididae. The record is from RNAcentral.